UUGAUAGAAACCAAAAAGAGGUGUGUCAUUGUUAAUGACAAUAUUGAAUUAAUAUUUAUUCCUAUCAAA
This 69-nucleotide transfer RNA is filed under the name Pagurus nigrofascia. RNAcentral describes it as "tRNA-Asn". The record is from RNAcentral. Lineage: Eukaryota; Metazoa; Arthropoda; Malacostraca; Decapoda; Paguridae.